Non-coding RNA from Sphaeramia orbicularis (orbiculate cardinalfish), 403 nucleotides. The record is from the annotation of a RefSeq genome assembly. NCBI's taxonomy places the organism in Eukaryota, Metazoa, Chordata, Actinopteri, Kurtiformes, Apogonidae.
ACACAGUUCAAUCUACAAAUCAGGAACAUUCCCUUUCUUCAACAUGCUGGACCUGGAUUACUGGAUGGUUUAUCUCCAUCUACUGGUGUUUCUCACAGGUGUCGACUGUGAAGAUCUGAGUCCAGUCAAGAAUGAAGAGUCCAGUUUAGAAGGAAACUCUGUUACUCUCACAUAUAAAUACUCUAAAAUGAUGUCAGGUGAUCAUUUCUUCUGGUAUCGACAAUAUCCAGGAACACCACCUGAGUUUCUAAUCUCUCACCUUGGAACACAAAAUGCAUCAAACCAUAGACUGUUUGUGGAAGCACAUGGAGAAAAGGUCCAAGUGCAGAUCUCCUCUGCUGCAGUGUCAGACUCUGCUGUGUACUACUGUGCUGUGAGGCCCACAGUGACAGGAAACAGCAAA